RNAcentral lists this ribosomal RNA (460 nucleotides) under uncultured bacterium. RNAcentral's name for it is "partial 16S ribosomal RNA". It matches the Rfam family "Bacterial small subunit ribosomal RNA", at positions 338 to 795 of the family's 1533-position model. The record is from RNAcentral.
CCUACGGGAGGCAGCAGUGAGGAAUAUUGGUCAAUGGACGAGAGUCUGAACCAGCCAAGUAGCAUGAAGGAUGACUGCCCUAUGGGUUGUAAACUUCUUUUAUAUGGGAAUAAAACGUUCCACGUGUGGGAUUUUGUAUGUACCAUAUGAAUAAGGAUCGGCUAACUCCGUGCCAGCAGCCGCGGUAAUACGGAGGAUCCGAGCGUUAUCCGGAUUUAUUGGGUUUAAAGGGAGCGUAGGUGGAUUGUUAAGUAAGUUGUGAAAGUUUGCGGCUCAACCGUAGAAUUGCAGUUGAAACUGGCAGUCUUGAGUACAGUAGAGGUGGGCGGAAUUCGUGGUGUAGCGGUGAAAUGCUUAGAUAUCACGAAGAACUCCGAUUGCGAAGGCAGUUCACUGGACUGCAACUGACACUGAGGCUCGAAAGUGUGGGUAUCAAACAGGAUUAGAUACCCGUGUAGUG